ACGGUUAUCAUUUAAUGGUAGGAUCGCUGACUUCCAAUCAGCUCGUGUUGGUUCGAAUCCGACUAGCCGUA
Molecule: non-coding RNA, 71 nt
Organism: Triticum urartu
Lineage: Eukaryota; Viridiplantae; Streptophyta; Magnoliopsida; Poales; Poaceae
Source: Rfam